CCUACGGGAGGCAGCAGUGGGGAAUAUUGGACAAUGGGCGCAAGCCUGAUCUAGCCAUGCCGCGUGAGUGAUGAAGGCCCUAGGGUCGUAAAGCUCUUUCGCUGGGAAGAUAAUGACGGUACCAGCAGAAGAAGCACCGGCUAACUACGUGCCAGCAGCCGCGGUAAU
This 168-nucleotide ribosomal RNA is filed under the name uncultured bacterium. RNAcentral's name for it is "partial 16S ribosomal RNA". It matches the Rfam family "Bacterial small subunit ribosomal RNA", at positions 338 to 524 of the family's 1533-position model. The record is from RNAcentral.